UUAUGAAUCACAGUGCCUUAUGUGACUCAUGUCUGAAAUAGUAUGAAAUUCCUAUCAGGACCAGAUAUGCUAUCGUCUUCUAACUAUUCGACUCCUGAAAGUGAACUGAGACCAAUUGGGUCGUCAACUUGGACUUAUAUUGCAAAUAACGCUACCGUGCUCUUUCUCUCUCUCUUUUCCCGUCUAGUGAGGUUUGAGAGUCUUGUCUACCCGAUAUUAAACCCAGUAUAAAACCCAGGAGGGAUUAGCAUGGAGGAAAUAUUGCACCCACAUGAGCCAGCUUUCUUCAUUGCAACUUUGCAUGUCAGAGAUGAUUUUGACGAUAAAAAGAACAAUGCGCUCAACUAAUGGAGUCUGGAUUGUGUUAUUGCGUAGCAAUGGUUGGAUCUACUGGUUUUCGUCAAAUUGGGUACGAAAUACAUGGACAAAGAUUAUGAAACUGUAUGCACGUAUUGAUUGUAAUAUUUGUGAUGAUGCGAUGAACAUGUAAAUAAAUAAAGUGCUAAAAAUAGUAUCAGAUAUUAAAUCAUGAA
Long non-coding RNA from Folsomia candida, 533 nucleotides. RefSeq lists it as uncharacterized. The record is from RefSeq and is a predicted model, not a curated record. The transcript is spliced from 3 exons. Lineage: Eukaryota; Metazoa; Arthropoda; Collembola; Entomobryomorpha; Isotomidae.